UUAGCUUAGUGGUAGAGCAUUUGACUGUAGAUCAAGAGGUCACCAGUUCGGCCCUGGUA
RNAcentral lists this transfer RNA (59 nucleotides) under Capsicum annuum. It matches the Rfam family "tRNA", at positions 7 to 64 of the family's 71-position model. Rfam says of the family: Transfer RNA (tRNA) molecules are approximately 80 nucleotides in length. Lineage: Eukaryota; Viridiplantae; Streptophyta; Magnoliopsida; Solanales; Solanaceae. The record is from Rfam by way of RNAcentral.